Molecule: long non-coding RNA, 3062 nt
Organism: Xiphophorus maculatus (southern platyfish)
Lineage: Eukaryota; Metazoa; Chordata; Actinopteri; Cyprinodontiformes; Poeciliidae
Exons: 6
Source: RefSeq, a predicted model, not a curated record
UAACAAGCCGAGAGGUUGGUGUGAGGUUACAGCACAAGCGGUGACAGAGCAGCAAGAUGACGAGACCGCAGAUGGCGUAUUUCUGCAGGUUUGUACAGAAUGCAAGAAAGUUACACCAAAACUGACUUAAUGAAAUGAGUCAGUUUUCAUACUGGGAGGAUGCAGUGCUACAAAGUAAACCGAGACCAAGCACCGGAAAAGGGGCACCCCUGACCCACUUACGUUGGGAGCAAAAAAGCAAAUCGUCCAAUCAAGGGAUAAUCUAUGGUUGGUUGCACUGAAGAGGAAGUCCAUGUGGUUGGUCGAAUCAUCGAAGUGUCAGACAUGCAUGCCUCACAUGUGAUGUACUUUCCUAUAGAAGUAAUAUCAACAAAGAGUUUGUCUGAGCAUAAUAUGCUGAAAGCGACGUACCUGUGACAGUAACAUGUAAGCCAGGUACAGAUUGAGUCAGAUCCACAUCAGGCGGCAUUAAAAACAAUAUCUGAGUGCUUACGCAACCGAUAAACACACUGGUGAUGGUGUGCCUUUAAAACCAGUGGGUUGUCAGGUGAUCAAGGCGGCUCAGACACAGGAGCCUGAGUGCGUCUGUAGCCGGGAGCAGAGCGCCAGAGAGGAGAGCAGCCGAGAGGGAGAGACCUGUUUAGAAAGGAACAUGGGGGGGAGAUGAGGACUCAGCUACAUCAGAGUGGGGGGCCAGAGGCUCGUGGUGGUAGGGUCCCUUUAACUGCAGUCUGCUUGUGCUCACUUGCCUUGUGUGACAGCUAGCAAGUGUGUUUCUGGCUCAGCUUGAUCAAGAAGCUGCGUUUGUGUAAGCCACAACAGUGGCAUAAAAAAAAGCACAGAGAAUUAAGUGCUGCGUCACACUCAGGAAGAGAAAUAGUGUGAUCAUGCGCGCGUGUGCACAGCUGCGUGUGUGUUGGUGUGUACAUACGCAUUUGAGUAGACUCUGUUGUGUUUGUCUGGCAGUGGGUAGGGUGUGUGUGUGUGUGUGUGUGAGUUGGACGUAGCAAUCUAAUAGCAGUUCUGCUGUUGCAACAAGAUGGAAAUAAAAGGAGUGUGUGUGCUUUUCAGUGGUGAGCAGAAAGGAAGCGAAGGGGAGAUACAGAGAGCGAGGGAGAGCAACUCCGAGUCAGUGCAAGAGAGUGAUUUCGGAUUAGUUGCUACGUCACUUUUUCAUGUCGAGAGAAACAGAAGCUGAGAUAACAGAAGCCCAGAGUCAUCACCCGGAGGAGGCACGUUGCUUUUCGGACACCUUCAGCUUCUGCCCUCUUCUUCUUCUUCCUUGGUAGUUUUGAUGUGCUCUACGUUUAGAGUGUGUGCACGUGCGUGUGUGUGUGUUGCGUAGUUUUUGUGAGCUGGUGCCUGAGUUUCAACAUGGAUGCUCAGGAUUUGACACAGUUAGUUACUAGAGCUUGUUUUGAUUGGUUGGUUAGGUGGCGCUGGUUGCGACAAACAGGUUAACAGCACGAAUAUUCAGUCUGGGAUGUUUUUCAAAGAAUUCAUCGAGGUACAGCGCUGUUUUUCCCCACUCUCUCCUCUAGUAAUAUGGGUGAUUUUUUUUUUUUGCGAAUAGGUUAAAAUAAUCAAUGACGGUGCGGUCUGACCCUCCUACUAUGCAGUCAGGUGACACAUACAGCAAUUCAAGUGAAGUUACAUAAUAAACGUAUCUGUUAAUGUCGCAUCAUGUGCGUCUGUAUUAAAAUAGAACCAGCUCUGGACUCUUCUGGUUAACUCUGCUGAAGUUGAUGGAAAGAAUCAGCAUCCAGACUUGGAGGCAGAGGCUGCUGUAUGUUGCUGUCACAUACCACUCCGUAUCUGGUGAUACUUUCAUCAUGUGAGUUGUUUUCACCCGCCAGAGCCAUUGGGAUCUGGCAAAACCCUUCCCGAGACACAUUUGUUUCUGCGUAGUUAGGAGAGACAGAGAUGGUGACGCAGUCGCUUUUGGGCUGGACUUUGCUGCAACCGGCUAGUACCUCUCCUUUUUCCUCUCAGUCUGUUUAUCUGUGUGCCUAUCUAUCGGUCUAUCCGUCUCCUGGAGAAAGGAGGGGGUAAGUAGGUUUAAAUGUCAUGGCUCUGGAUCAGAAACAGAUAGAGAAGAAGAAGAGAGAGGGAGGGAGAGAAGGAAAGAGAAAAACAUAAGGUGGAGAGGAAGCACAGAGGGGUGCUGAGAUGAACCAAAACAGAGAAAAGUUGUAAACCUUGUUCUUUUUUGUGACUUAGCUUUGGCUUCUCUCCAAUGUACAUGCACUGGACUGGACUUCCUAAAGCUGCUGCAUCACAAGCCUUCAUGCCAAGGCUGCAUUCUCAUUGGAUGGGAGGAGCUUCCCAGGCUUCACAGCAUUUCAUUGGCUUAAAAGAACAGGCAGCUGACAUUCAACCUCUGAUUGGCUGGGAUGCAUUGUUUUCUCACACGGCUGGAGACGAACAAACUAUCCUCUAUUCUUCCAAGCGACAGAGAGAACGGGAUUAAUCUCGUUUGUCUGCAGAUUCCACUGAAUAUUCCACUCUGAUGAUGGAUUUUACCAGAGGUGCCCCCUUUGGAAGCUGGUUUCAGAUGGUGGCUUAGAGUGUUGUCAUCUGUCUAGCACCAUUUGAAAUCAGUGUUCUUUGGGUGGGAAGUGUUUCUUUGCACUGGCAGAAGGCAGAAGCAACAAUGAGCCCAUCACCAUAGAUAUGACGCUGUAAAGAAACACACACAACUCUCUGAGGCUCCCUCCUUAAAGAACAUCAAGUCUCUGAGCUACAAAUCAUGUCUACCAAGAUGUUUUUCACUUUUCAAGUCCCUUUGUCCUCUCUCCAAGGUUGACUGAUUUCUUUUGGUGUUCAGAGUCUGUUUCUCUUUCUAGCACCAUUUGAAAUCGGUUACAAUGAAGGACAGAUCUCAUCAUACCUUGAGGAGGAAACUCUGCUGCAUUGUGGCCUUUCUUGGAUUGGGUGGAGUGAAACUUGACAUUAAGGCUAUAAACUAAGAAAAGCUACAUGGAUGUGCAUGUGCAUGUAGAGGGGUUAUGUUAGAUUAAUUUUAAUAAGUAUGAAAUAAAGUGUCAUGUUACUUAAAUUCA